AGUUGAACGAUGAUUUCUGGUACUUGUAUCAGAAUGAAGAGUAGCGAACGGGUGAGUAACGCGUGGGUAACCUACCUCUUAGCGGGGGACAACCAUUGGAAACGAUAGCUAAUACCGCAUAACAAUGUUAAACCCAUGUUUAACAUUUGAAAGUACCAAUUGGUACACUAGGAGAUGGACCCGCGUUGUAUUAGCUAGUUGGUAGUGUAAUGGACUACCAAGGCGAUGAUACAUAGCCGACCUGAGAGGGUGAUCGGCCACAUUGGGACUGAGACACGGCCCAAACUCCUACGGGAGGCAGCAGUAGGGAAUCUUCGGCAAUGGACGAAAGUCUGACCGAGCAACGCCGCGUGAGUGAAGAAGGUUUUCGGAUCGUAAAACUCUGUUGUUAGAGAAGAACGUUGUGUAGAGUGGAAAAUUACACAAGUGACGGUAUCUAACCAGAAAGGGACGGCUAACUACGUGCCAGCAGCCGCGGUAAUACGUAGGUCCCGAGCGUUGUCCGGAUUUAUUGGGCGUAAAGCGAGCGCAGGUGGUUUAAUAAGUCUGAUGUAAAAGGCAGUGGCUCAACCAUUGUGUGCAUUGGAAACUGUUAGACUUGAGUGCAGUAGAGGAGAGUGGAAUUCCAUGUGUAGCGGUGAAAUGCGUAGAUAUAUGGAGGAACACCGGUGGCGAAAGCGGCUCUCUGGACUGUAACUGACACUGAGGCUCGAAAGCGUGGGUAGCAAACAGGAUUAGAUACCCUGGUAGUCCACGCCGUAAACGAUGAGUGCUAGUUGUUUGGGGCUAUCCAGCCCUAAGUGACGCAGCAAACGCAUUAAGCACUCCGCCUGGGGAGUACGACCGCAAGGUUGAAACUCAAAGGAAUGACG
RNAcentral lists this ribosomal RNA (872 nucleotides) under uncultured bacterium. Its description in RNAcentral is "bacterial SSU rRNA". It matches the Rfam family "Bacterial small subunit ribosomal RNA", at positions 60 to 915 of the family's 1533-position model. The record is from RNAcentral.